Molecule: ribosomal RNA, 251 nt
Filed under: uncultured bacterium
Lineage: Bacteria
Description: partial 16S ribosomal RNA
Rfam family: Bacterial small subunit ribosomal RNA
Source: RNAcentral
GAGCGAACGUUAGCGGCGGGCCUAACACAUGCAAGUCGAGCGAGAAAGUGGCUUCGGCCAUCAGUAAAGCGGCGGACGGGUGAGUAACACGUAGGUAAUCGUUCCCUUGAGCGGGGGGACAACGUUUCGAAACGGACGCUAAGUACCGCAUAAGUUUCCAGGGCCUCUGGGUCUUGGAAGGAAAGCUAGGUCGCAAGAUCCGGCACUCGAGGAGGUAGCCUGCGUCGCAUCAGCUAGUUGGUGGGGAAUGG